This 399-nucleotide ribosomal RNA is filed under the name uncultured Exiguobacterium sp. RNAcentral's name for it is "bacterial SSU rRNA". It matches the Rfam family "Bacterial small subunit ribosomal RNA", at positions 53 to 444 of the family's 1533-position model. Lineage: Bacteria; Bacillati; Bacillota; Bacilli; Caryophanales. The record is from RNAcentral.
GCAGGCAAGUCAUCCGAACCCUUCGGGGGGACGUUGACGGAAUGAGCGGCGGACGGGUGAGUAACACGUAAAGAACCUGCCCUCAGGUCUGGGAUAACCACGAGAAAUCGGGGCUAAUACCGGAUGGGUCAUCGGACCGCAUGGUCCGAGGAUGAAAGGCGCUUCGGCGUCGCCUGGGGAUGGCUUUGCGGUGCAUUAGCUAGUUGGUGGGGUAAUGGCCCACCAAGGCGACGAUGCAUAGCCGACCUGAGAGGGUGAUCGGCCACACUGGGACUGAGACACGGCCCAGACUCCUACGGGAGGCAGCAGUAGGGAAUCUUCCACAAUGGACGAAAGUCUGAUGGAGCAAUGCCGCGUGAACGAUGAAGGCCCUCGGGUCGUAAAGUUCUGUUGUAAGGG